UAGCAUUACGACAGUUUUACGUUGAAACAGGAAGUGCUGCUCCUCUGUAAUGUCGCCAGCUUUGCCUCAAAUAAUAAUAGUGUCGUUACCGGCUGUGUCCGCCAGAGGGCAGUAAUGUGUACAGUAAAGAUUUAGUGACUUUAGGGAUCAUUUUGACUGUUUUUAUGGCUAUUUUUGCUUCAGUUUGUUCAUGUUUUGUCUCAUAUUGUCACUUUAGUGACUUUAGGGGUCCUUUUGCAUGUUUUUAUGGUUAUUUUUGCUUCAGUUUGUUCAUUUUGUGCCUCGUAUUGUUACUUUAGUGACUUUAGGGGUCAAUUUGCAUGUUUUUAUGGAUAUUUUUGAUUCAGUUUGUUCAUUUUUUGUCUCAUAUUAUUACUUUAGUGACUUUAGGGGUAAUUUUGCAUGUUUUUAUGGCUAUUUUUGAUUCAGUUUGUUCAUUUUUGGUCUCACAUUGUUACUUUAGUUACUUUAGGGGUCAUCUUGCAUGUUUUAAUGGCUAUUUUAUUAUUCAGUUUGUUCAUUUUUUGUCUCAUAUUAUUAUCAUUGCAGAGGCUCAUAGGUAACGUGGUUCUGAGGCAGCCAGGAGCAGAGGCUCAUGGGUAACGUGUCUCUGAGCCAGCCAGGAGCAGAGGCUCAUGGGCUAACAGUUCCCACCUGUUGCCAGCCUUUGUGCGAAGCUCAAAGUCGGGCCAGUGGACGGCAUUUGCAGAGACUAUGCGCCUGGGAAGAGCUUCAGCUUUCAGAUCAGAGGUGACCCGGGUGCAAAAGUCAGCCUGGUGGCUGUGGACAACGCUGUGUAUCUUCUCAACAAGGACAGACUCACACAGAGGAAGCCGUGCAGUGUCCAGGCAGUACCAGAAGGAGACGCUCUGCUGAACUGUUGAAGCGUAAAGCUCAGCUGGUUGCCUGCUAAUCUUGAUUUGGAAGUAGAGGCUCAAGGAAAUGGAUAAGGAAUACUAGAGUACAGGGAAAGACAACCACGGGUUGUGACCUAUUACAAUCAGCUGCAUGAGGUGGAAGAGAAAAUGCCCUGCAAGCACUUUGAUCUCAACGUCACUUUUGAAGGAUCCAGCGGGCUCUAGGACCCAGAGACGUCAGGAUGGUGGUUCUUGAUAUCAGUCUACCAACUGGAUUCACCCCAGAAAACUCUGACCUGGAGAUGCUGUCCAAUUCAGUGCAUCGUUACAUCAGUAACUUCCAGAUUGUAGACAACCUGAGUGACAGAGGCUCCCUGAUCAUUCACCUGUUCAAAGUAACAUCACUGUGUUUAUAAUUAUUAUUCUAUAUCAUAUCAUUUUAUGUUAUUCAUAUGCUUUUCUUUUUUUCCAAGAAGCAGGUUUCUCAAUGCUCAGUAAAUAAGUCUUUAUGACCACAGUCAACAAUCUGAGGCAGUUUUAGGCUAUUACACAAAACCAGCUUAUCGGUUCCAAAGCCAUGGUUCAGAACUCAGACUUGCUAAAUCAGUGUUAGUGUAGUGCAGUGUAGGGCUGCAGCCAGAGUACUGACGAUAGUUAGCAAGAGAGAUCAUAUUUCUCCUAUGCUGGUUUCUCUUCAUUGGCUUCCUGUGAAAUGUAGAAUAGAAUUCAAAAUCCUUCUUCUGACAUAUAAAGCUCUUAACAACCACUCUCCAUCAUAUCUUAAAGACCUGAUAGUACCAUAUUAUCCUAGCAGAACUCUUCGCUCUCAGACUGCAGGCUUACUUGGAGAAGUGACCUGUAACGUCUCUCUAAAAGUAGAAUGGGAGGCAGAGCCUUCAGUUAUUAGCUCCUCUCCUGUGGAACCAGCUCCCAGUUUGGGUUCUGGAGGCGGACACCCUCUCUAAUUUUAAGACCAGGCUUAAAACCUUCCUUUUUGACAAAUCUUAUCGUUAGGACUGACUGGGGGACCCUGAGGGGGUCAGCUGGAGUCUUCCUCUUGGACGUCCCUUAGUUCUGCCCCUAGUUCUGCUGCUAUAGGCCUAGCCUGCUGGAGGACCUCUCUGGAUGCACUGAGCCCUUCUCUAUCUACCAUUAUAUUUAAUAUAUAUAUACCAUUAUUGCAUUACACUCACUCUGUUUCUCCCUGUGUCCUUUCUCCGAGUGUCCGUGAUACCAGAGCUGGAUGCUUCAGAUCUGUGGUGGUUCUCCCACCAACUGGCCUAAUCUCCAUCUGUGGGAUGCUGCUGCUGACCUUCCUCCAGCCCACUGCUUCCAGCUGCCCAUUUCCAUCAAUCUACUCUGCAUCACCCUCACUAUACUUGAUUUGCUCAUCUACAUAUUUUUGAAUUUACCACCAGCUAUAUAUGUAGUAUAUUUAAUGCCAGAGCCAUACACCAUAGCAGUAAACUAUAAUCAGUUUCCAUCCCAGAGGGAUAUAUGCGCAGAUUUUUUUAAAUACCAUGUAGAAGACUAUAUACAGGAAGAUGAGGUAUCAGUUCUUGCACAUAGAUAUACAACAGUCCUUUAUUACUCCCCAGGUCAGGGGAAAUUUCCAGUGUUGGAGCAGCAAAAAUCUUUCAGAGCAGCACUAACUACAGUUUACUACAGUAAAGAUAAUUAUAAUAACAAUAAUAUAUACAAGAAUGAAAAAUGAAUAAAUACAGUAUUACUACACUGUAAGUGACAUCAGCAUAAAGUGGCUUGUGGAAUACAUGUAAUUGUAAAAGUGCAGAAAAUGCCAGCAGUGCAAGGAGUUGUGGAGCUUUUCUCAAAACAGGUGAGUCCUGUGAAUAUGACCAAAAUAUGAGAUAAAACUACCAGAAACAUGUACAAAAUGACCAAAAUAUGAUUGGUUGAUAAUGUAUCAGUGUUGUUAUUGAUUAUUGAUCGGUUGCAGGGACAGAGAUUUGUGUCUGAGUCUCUGCUGUCAUCUAAUCUCUCUCAUGUAAGAUCAUGUCACAGGAGGGGGCGCUACUGGCCUCUUGUGGACACAGGCGGUAACGACACGACAUUAUUAUAAAGUGUAUAGCUGGCGACAUUACAGAUGAGCAACACUUCCUGUUAGUCUUCAACGUAAAAGCAUCUUUCUUUAUUGUACAUUUCAUGUCAAAAGUAUUACUAAGCGAUUUUGGUCGAUUUAGAAGGAUCUCUGGUGUAAACCAAGUCGUAUUUGACGACAGCUAGCUUCUCCACUUGCUCCAAUUACUUUUGUUGUAGUCCGAGUCACGUCCAAACAGGAAAUGAAUCCACAAUGUAGCUAAUGACAAUCUAUAGCUGCAUCUCCGUGAUGGCAGCGUUAGCGAGCUAGCAGCUAAUCAGAAGCUAGUGACAAGCUAACUCCAGCGCUACAAGCAGCGUCUCUUUAAAAGGUGCUGAUCAGGCUGUCAGGCUGAAAGAUGAGACCUGGGACAGAAAAAGGAGCUAGAGCGCUGUGUCUUGCAGAGGAUUUAUUUUAGAACUACGCAUGUUAAGGUAUUAGUCCGUGUCAUAGCAAACCCUCGUUAGCACUUCCGCUAGCUCGGCUAACACUUCCGGUCACGAAUGCAUUUGUACAUUAGCUAUAACGUGUUUAUUUUUGAACGUAUAGUGACAACAAACACAAUUUGAGACUGUCGACAAGCUAGUGGUCCUUAAAUAGAUUUUGUUUCAUACUGCAGAUUCUUCUGAGUCUCACAAAACCACGUUUUAGCAUAAUAGCAUUACGAUAGUUUUACGUUGAAACAGGAAGUGCCGCUCCUCUGUAAUGUCGCCAGCUUUGCCUCAAAUAAUAAUAGUGUUGUUACCGGCUGUGUCCGCCAGAGGGCAGUAAUGUGUACAGUAAAGAUUUAGUGACUUUAGGGAUCAUUUUGACUGUUUUUAUGGCUAUUUUUGCUUCAGUUUGUUCAUGUUUUGUCUCAUAUUGUUACUUUAGUGACUUUAGGGGUCCUUUUGCAUGUUUUUAUGGUUAUUUUUGCUUCAGUUCAUUUUGUGCCUCGUAUUUUUACUUUAGCGACUUUAGGGGUCAAUUUGCAUGUUUUUAUGGAUAUUUUUGAUUCAGUUUGUUCAUUUUUUGUCUCAUAUUAUUACUUUAGUGACUUUAGGGGUAAUUUUGCAUGUUUUUAUGGCUAUUUUUGAUUCAGUUUGUUCAUUUUUGGUCUGACGUUGUUAUUUUAGUUACUUUAGGGGUCAUCUUGCAUGUUUUAAUGGCUAUUUUAUUAUUCAGUUUGUUCAUUUUUGUCUCAUAUUAUUAUCAUAGCAGAGGCUCAUGGGUAACGUGGUUCUGAGGCAGCCAGGAGCAGAGGCUCAUGGGUAACGUGUCUCUGAGCCAGCCAGGAGCAGAGGCUCAUGGGUAACGUGGUCCUCUGUUUCCAGUCUUUAUGCUAAGCUAAGCAAACAGUUCUAACCUCUUUCCAGUCUUUAUGCUAAGCUAGGAUAGCUGUUUUCCUCUGUUUCCAGUCUUUAUGCUAAGCUAGGCUAACAGUCCUAAUCUGUUUCAUCUUUCUGCUAACCUAUGCUAACAGUUCUAACCUGUUUCCAGUCUUUAUGCUAA
Long non-coding RNA from Amphiprion ocellaris (clown anemonefish), 4446 nucleotides. RefSeq lists it as uncharacterized. The transcript has 8 exons. Lineage: Eukaryota; Metazoa; Chordata; Actinopteri; Pomacentridae. The record is from RefSeq and is a predicted model, not a curated record.